This 330-nucleotide ribosomal RNA is filed under the name Triticum aestivum (bread wheat). RNAcentral's name for it is "partial small subunit ribosomal RNA". Lineage: Eukaryota; Viridiplantae; Streptophyta; Magnoliopsida; Poales; Poaceae. The record is from RNAcentral.
AUGCUUAAUGUUGACAUUACCCUAACUGCUUUGAGAAUAACUAUUGAAGUGUUCACUUGGACAGAUAGUGAAGAAGUGACUAAAGUAAUACCCUUUUAUGGUGCAUUGAUUCACCUUGCUGUUGCAACAAACCAGGCUGAGCUGAGGCAGUUUGUUAGAAAGGAUAUAUUUUCGUCUAUAACACAGGGCUUUUCUGUUGAGUUGAAUGUCGUUGUUAGUGCGGAGCUUAUUGGACUUUGUCGAGGAAUAUAUCUAUAUCUGUCAGACAAAGAUCGUGCACCUAAACAGUUUGGCUCUGGAGGCUUUGGUCAUGCACAGUUCAGAAAGUAA